AGAGUUUGAUCCUGGCUCAGGAUGAACGCUGGCGGCGUGCUUAACACAUGCAAGUCGAACGGUGAAGCCCAGCUUGCUGGGUGGAUCAGUGGCGAACGGGUGAGUAACACGUGAGCAAUCUGCCCCUGACUCUGGGAUAAGCGCUGGAAACGGCGUCUAAUACUGGAUACGAACCGUGGAGGCAUCUUCAACGGUUGGAAAGAUUUUUUGGUCAGGGAUGAGCUCGCGGCCUAUCAGCUUGUUGGUGAGGUAAUGGCUCACCAAGGCGUCGACGGGUAGCCGGCCUGAGAGGGUGACCGGCCGCACUGGGACUGAGACACGGCCCAGACUCCUACGGGAGGCAGCAGUGGGGAAUAUUGCACAAUGGGCGAAAGCCUGAUGCAGCAACGCCGCGUGAGGGAUGACGGCCUUCGGGUUGUAAACCUCUUUUAGCAGGGAAGAAGCGAAAGUGACGGUACCUGCAGAAAAAGCGCCGGCUAACUACGUGCCAGCAGCCGCGGUAAUACGUAGGGCGCAAGCGUUAUCCGGAAUUAUUGGGCGUAAAGAGCUCGUAGGCGGUUUGUCGCGUCUGCUGUGAAAUCCCGAGGCUCAACUUCGGGUCUGCAGUGGGUACGGGCAGACUAGAGUGCGGUAGGGGAGAUUGGAAUUCCUGGUGUAGCGGUGGAAUGCGCAGAUAUCAGGAGGAACACCGAUGGCGAAGGCAGAUCUCUGGGCCGUAACUGACGCUGAGGAGCGAAAGGGUGGGGAGCAAACAGGCUUAGAUACCCUGGUAGUCCACCCCGUAAACGUUGGGAACUAGUUGUGGGGUCCAUUCCACGGAUUCCGUGACGCAGCUAACGCAUUAAGUUCCCCGCCUGGGGAGUACGGCCGCAAGGCUAAAACUCAAAGGAAUUGACGGGGACCCGCACAAGCGGCGGAGCAUGCGGAUUAAUUCGAUGCAACGCGAAGAACCUUACCAAGGCUUGACAUAUACGAGGACGCUGCAGAAAUGUAGAACUCUUUGGACACUCGUAAACAGGUGGUGCAUGGUUGUCGUCAGCUCGUGUCGUGAGAUGUUGGGUUAAGUCCCGCAACGAGCGCAACCCUCGUUCUAUGUUGCCAGCACGUCAUGGUGGGAACUCAUGGGAUACUGCCGGGGUCAACUCGGAGGAAGGUGGGGAUGACGUCAAAUCAUCAUGCCCCUUAUGUCUUGGGCUUCACGCAUGCUACAAUGGCCGGUACAAAGGGCUGCAAUACCGUGAGGUGGAGCGAAUCCCAAAAAGCCGGUCCCAGUUCGGAUUGAGGUCUGCAACUCGACCUCAUGAAGUCGGAGUCGCUAGUAAUCGCAGAUCAGCAACGCUGCGGUGAAUACGUUCCCGGGUCUUGUACACACCGCCCGUCAAGUCAUGAAAGUCGGUAACACCUGAAGCCGGUGGCCCAACCCUUGUGGAGGGAGCCGUCGAAGGUGGGAUCGGUAAUUAGGUCUCAGUCGUAACAAGGUAACC
RNAcentral lists this ribosomal RNA (1484 nucleotides) under Microbacterium sp. 0713P5-2. RNAcentral describes it as "bacterial SSU rRNA". It matches the Rfam family "Bacterial small subunit ribosomal RNA". The record is from RNAcentral. Lineage: Bacteria; Bacillati; Actinomycetota; Actinomycetes; Micrococcales; Microbacteriaceae.